RNAcentral lists this ribosomal RNA (253 nucleotides) under uncultured bacterium. RNAcentral describes it as "partial 16S ribosomal RNA". It matches the Rfam family "Bacterial small subunit ribosomal RNA", at positions 524 to 776 of the family's 1533-position model. The record is from RNAcentral.
GACGUAGGAGGCGAGCGUUAUCCGGAUUCACUGGGCGUAAAGCGCGUGUAGGCGGCUCGGCAAGUCGGUUGUGAAAGCCCCUGGCUCAACUGGGGGAGGUCAACCGAGACUGGCGGGCUUGAGGGUCAGAGAGGAAGGCGGAAUUCCCGGUGUAGCGGUGGAAUGCGUAGAGAUCGGGAGGAACACCAGUGGCGAAGGCGGCCUUCUGGCUGACCUCUGACGCUGAGACGCGAAAGCGUGGGUAGCAAACGGG